RNAcentral lists this small nucleolar RNA (81 nucleotides) under Lupinus angustifolius (narrow-leaved blue lupine). RNAcentral's name for it is "snoRNA snoZ102_R77". It matches the Rfam family "Small nucleolar RNA Z102/R77". From Rfam's summary of the family: Z102 and R77 and are members of the C/D class of snoRNA which contain the C (UGAUGA) and D (CUGA) box motifs. Most of the members of the box C/D family function in directing site-specific 2'-O-methylation of substrate RNAs. Lineage: Eukaryota; Viridiplantae; Streptophyta; Magnoliopsida; Fabales; Fabaceae. The record is from Rfam by way of RNAcentral.
GAGUGCAAUGAUGAUUAUUGGUUUUCCCUAUUGGUUUGAUCGCCUGAAUGAUGGCAAAGUAUUAGCUCUAUCUGAGCAUUC